RNAcentral lists this ribosomal RNA (467 nucleotides) under uncultured bacterium. RNAcentral describes it as "partial 16S ribosomal RNA". It matches the Rfam family "Bacterial small subunit ribosomal RNA", at positions 29 to 507 of the family's 1533-position model. The record is from RNAcentral.
AUGAACGCUGGCGGCGUGCUUAACCCAUGCCAGUCGAACGGUGAAGGCGGAGCUUGCUCUGCUGGAUCAGUGGCGAACGGGUGAGUAACACGUGAGCAAUCUGCCCCUGACUCUGGGAUAAGCGCUGGAAACGGCGUCUAAUACUGGAUACGAGCUGCGAAGGCAUCUUCAGCAGCUGGAAAGAACUUCGGUCAGGGAUGAGCUCGCGGCCUAUCAGCUUGUUGGUGAGGUAACGGCUCACCAAGGCGUCGACGGGUAGCCGGCCUGAGAGGGUGACCGGCCACACUGGGACUGAGACACGGCCCAGACUCCUACGGGAGGCAGCAGUGGGGAAUAUUGCACAAUGGGCGAAAGCCUGAUGCAGCAACGCCGCGUGAGGGACGACGGCCUUCGGGUUGUAAACCUCUUUUAGCAGGGAAGAAGCGAAAGUGACGGUACCUGCAGAAAAAGCGCCGGCUAACUACGUG